UACGGGGGGGGUAAGCGUUGUUCGGAAUUACUGGGCGUAAAGGGCUCGUAGGCGGCCAACUAAGUCAUACGUGAAAUCCCUCAGCUUAACUGGGGAACUGCGUGUGAUACUGGAUGGCUUGGAUUUGGGAGAGGGAUGCGGAAUUCCAGGUGUAGCGGUGAAAUGCGUAGAUAUCUGGAGGAACACCGGUGGCGAAGGCGGCAUCCUGGACCAAUAUUGACGCUGAGGUGCGAAAGCGUGGGGAGCGAACAGG
RNAcentral lists this ribosomal RNA (253 nucleotides) under uncultured bacterium. RNAcentral's name for it is "partial 16S ribosomal RNA". It matches the Rfam family "Bacterial small subunit ribosomal RNA", at positions 524 to 776 of the family's 1533-position model. The record is from RNAcentral.